Molecule: long non-coding RNA, 1025 nt
Organism: Capsicum annuum
Lineage: Eukaryota; Viridiplantae; Streptophyta; Magnoliopsida; Solanales; Solanaceae
Exons: 2
Source: RefSeq, a predicted model, not a curated record
UUCUUCCACAACAGGACACCUCACAUACACUCAUUGCCCCAUAGCACAACAAAUUCACACUCCCACACAAUUAGCAAGAGAUAAUACUCUCACGGGAAAAUUCACUGAGGGGCUCAUGGAUAUUAACACUCAUCCUCACUAGUGAAGGAGAUAGAGAGGAAACACUCCAUCUUUCUCAUUUUUCUUUUCUGGAUAACGUGGACACACUCAUGAAAUUCAUCACCAUAGUACGUAUCCCCAAACAUAUAUCUCACAAGUAGUUGCUUGCACUGAGAUGGAUCGAUACUCACCGAAAAGAACACCGCCGUCGACGCAUAGUACACACACACCCGCCCAAAAACGUACACGCAUAGUAAGGAGAAAAGGGUUUUCAAAAUGGACUGAAAAUGAUAGGGAUCAGUCAAACAGUGAAAUCUCACCGGAAAACACUCCCUGUCACCAGAAUCCGACCCUCUUUCAUCAAUUUUGCCGCCGUCUGGGCUCUGGAGUUCCGGCCAUACGUCUUUUUCUGGUAAAAUUUGGAUAUUUGUUGGUUCACUGCUCUUGGCAGAUUUUUGUUCGUGUAAUGUCUGUUCUGCGCGAUUUUAUCUUGAGGUCAUUGGAAGACGGUAAAAGGGAUGCAUGCCGGAGCCGGGGUUUGAUUUGAUGUUCCAAAUCGAGGUUCUUCGGCAUGCGGAUUCGUCCUCUCAAUUGACUGAUAUUCGGAGUAAAAUCAUCAUUGAGGUACAAGUUAUAACGCAUACACCAUAUUCAGUCAGUUUGCAGCUUCCAAUCAGCAGGUGAUAAGUCCUUUUGAUUCAAGGUCUCGAGUUAGUUAUACAGUUUGAGAAGUAUCAUAUUUUCUUUAUCCAGUCGUAUUGAGUUGGGAUAGUUGGAAGUCAUGACCCGGCUACCUAUAGUCAGUACUAGUAGAGGCUUCAUAGACAAUCAGUAGUAUUGAUAUAUUUAAUUUCCAUUUUGUUUGUAUUGUAAUCUUAUAAAAUCAGAUUUGUAUUGAUCUAGUUCAGAACAAUUUUUAUGUUUUC